Juglans microcarpa x Juglans regia is the source of this 106-nucleotide small nucleolar RNA. RefSeq annotates it as small nucleolar RNA snoR109. Lineage: Eukaryota; Viridiplantae; Streptophyta; Magnoliopsida; Fagales; Juglandaceae. The transcript has a single exon. The record is from RefSeq and is a predicted model, not a curated record.
UGGCUGUAACCAAAUCAAGUGGCUCAUAGAAGUUAACUGGCCAGUCCUUGUGAGAUCUCUUUCUUCGAUCUCUGUCAACAAUCUGCUUACCGAACUUCUAACGUUC